AGGUCUGUGAAGACUUUUGUUGGGUUUUGAUGGGUAUUAAAUUGAAUCUGAAGAUUGCCUUUGGACUCCUGGAGCUCCACCUGGGGCCUGGACAUGGAUCUCUGCAUCUGAUUUCCUCAGUCAUUGGAUGAGGUUUCUAGCACGACAAUUAGGGUGUUUGGCCAUCCUAUCACCAGAGUAGGUCAUUUCAGGCUGUCUCUCGACCAUUGCCAGUAGUCUAUUGUGGAGCUAUCCUUGUGGAUUUCUGUGGACCUCUCUAGUACCCUGCUUCUUCCUAUUCUCAUGUGAUCUCCAUUUACCAUGGUCUCUUAUUCCUUGUUCUCUCUCUCUCUGUUCUUGAUCCAGGUGGGAUCUCCUGUUCCCCCAAUCAUGAUAUUAAAAGAUAUUAAAAGAUAGAAUUGUGUAUGUCAAGUUCGCAUGGGGUGAAGUUGUGAUAGCUAUUUUUCGUUGUCAAAUUUAUUACAUCUGGAAUUAACUAAGACCCAAAAAUGGAGGGGCACACCUGUGAGAUAUUAAUUUGCUUAAUUUGAAGAGAAAAGAUCCACAUGGAAGCCAGCUCUUUGCAGUUGGAAGACAUUCUUUUAACUGGAUGUUGAUGAGGAAAGAAAGAAACACCUUUAACUCAGAUGUUUUUGGCCCCCAAGCCUGACCUGUAAUCUGAGCCAGGCCUUGUGCUGGAAGCCCAUAUACAGAAAUGGAAGAAGGGAGCUUUUGCUCUUUAGCUGCUUGCUCUCACCUUGCUAGCAAGUUCAUUCCUUCCCUGGCAUUGGAGCCAACUUCUUUGGGAUUCGAGACUAUACUACUGAUGGGCUGAGACAAUAGGUGUAGUGGACUGGAUUCUUGGACUUCGCCAUCAAGCUAGCUGAACCAUAGCCUCUAAGUCAUUCUAAAAAAUAGCCUUCUGUAUAUAUAGAAAUGCAUUCUAUAAGUUGUUACCCAAUAGAACCCUGAGCAAUGCACCAGACAGGGAUAAAACUUUUAGAGUACUUUGGGCCUCACAACAGCGUUAUCUCAGUUAUGAAUUACACAGAAUCACUGGGAAAGAAAGUAAAAUAACACAAGUCUGAAAUUUCUCAAAUGGAACACACAGUAAUCUAAUUAAAUGAGUAAUUAUGUGAGAUGGAGAGAGUCUAGCUUAAGUAAGAAAUGAAAAAAAAGAUGUCUUAGCUUCUGUGGUACAAGACCUGGCACCAGCUCCAUCCCACAUGAAGAUCAGAGGAGAGUAGCUUCUUUUUUACCCUUGUUGUGACAGCUCUAGUCCGGAGAGCCAGGGGAUAAAUUUCUUUACACAUCAAAUCUCUGCCUCACUGUCAGUCUCAGGAGUCAGAUCUAUCCCAGAGGAGCUUCACAAGAGUAAAUCAGUCAUUUGGAGGAACUUUCUCAAUAUAAUCUGAGAUCUGCUGUGAUAAAAGAGAAACGUCAGCCACCUCUCACCUUUUUAGUCUUGCACAGAUUCACUCUGUACCAGAGACAUGUGGCCCCUGAUGCUGUCUCUAUCCACUCCACCUAGUCAUGAGGUUCCUCCCAUCAUUGCUCAUCAGGACCGUCAUGAGGGAUUCCUCAUCCUACCUACACCACCAGGAGGGUCUAUUCUAUUUUGCAUUUUAUUAGACAGGCUUAAUAGGUGUUGUCAACCUAGAAGAGAUCUAGCAAAUCUGUUCCAAUCUGACAGUCAGUGAGACUGGGGCAGGAUCCUGAACCUAUGAGAGCCCUGAAUGGAUGUGUGGCAGCCUAAGACAAUUAGCAUACCUGUCUCUACAGGUUCCAAGAAACUUCAGGCUUUGGUUGGGAAUGAACCAAUUGAACUAAAACAGCACACAUGGCUGGGAGGACAGAGGUCAAUUGCAGGGACUGUGGAGAUGGCUCGUCCAUUAAGAGCAUUUAUUGCUAUCUCAGAAGACCCACAGGACACCUAACAAACCUUUUUAACUUAAAUUCCAGGUGGACUCUGCCCUCACCUGGCCCCUGUGGGAAUUACAUGUACAUGGUGGCAAAACACCUUAAGUAUAAAGAAAAGCACCACAAAAUAUCCCAACAUACAUUGAAGGAAUUAUCUCUGCUGUUCGGAUAUCACUCAUGUUAUAUUUCAAGAAAACCAGAGGCAGAAUGCUUUUCAUUUCUUUAUUUCUUUUAUACAAUUUUAAUGAAUAUUCUUAUUUCCAAAAAUGCCUGAAUCAAUAUACUUGUGUUUCCCUUUAAUUUGGUGUACAUUAUGAUUUCAUGAAUAUGUGUGUACAGUGUACCACAUUUUACUGGUAGCUAAAUAUAUGACCUCAAGCAUACAAUACAUCUAGUUUUUCUCUAUUAUGUAGUGGGUAUACAUGGAGUAGGCUAUGCCAUCCACAUCCAGCUGCAAUCCCCCUGUGUAUCCCUGAGGCCCAUGAAUGGAAAAUCCUUGUGCAGCCUGAGCUUCCUGGAACUUACUGAGAUACAUCCAAGGCUGUGAGUUCUGGGUUUACAGGAGUGUGAAACCUCAUCUGACUAAAGAAGAGUCUUGGAGUGAACAGUUUGAAAUUUAUUUGAUUCAUAAAAUACAUUCAUUUUACUCAAUGGGGGCUUUCAAAACAGCAUCAUUAUAUACAGUGUAUAGCCUUAGCAAACUAUUAAAACAAUGACAAGAUAAAAGUAAUAACAAAAAUUAACACAACCUUAAAUGAAAAUGAAGAAAACCAAAAACCAAAGCAUAAAUAUCCCAAGAUAUAAAACAAAAAAAAAUUGAGGAAAUUGCAACUUUCUUUGGAAUUUCAUUAUGGAAGAGCAAAAGUGGUGAGGAACUGGCUUAUUCUCUGUAGAGAAUUAUCUUCAGCAACACUUGCCCAUGACAUGGCGUCAGCAUCAGCACUGCAUUAGAGAGGAUCUUAUGCUUUUGGUGUGGUCUGUCUGGAUGGCAAUGUGACAUUAACACAGUCUUUCUUGUCAGAUUUCCCAUCACAUAUGGACUCAGGGUUUUUAGUAAUUUAUUUUGUGUUCUCUGUAUCUUAGACUUAUUUCUGACACAAACUGUUCUCUGGGGAUAGUGAGCCAACAGAUGUGGCUGGAUCCCCUGAUGGUAGGUUGAUAUUUGCAUCACUAGUGAGUUCAAAGCUGAAAAGAGGUGGCAUUUUCUGAGGAGGCCUUAAACCUGGAGUGUAGAAUGUCAUGCCUUCAAGGUGUCCUGGCUGCUUCUAGCCUUCUCAGUCUUCUUAACAGGUGCUGUUAUGUAAAAUCAUUAAAAAAUAUCAUUCAGAAACAGUUUUGCUGUGCCACUGGCAAGAAAAUUAGGGCCUAUUCAUCCCUAGUAAACAAAAGUUAAGGAAGGAAACACACCCCAUGAAUACCCUGCUGUUGGAGAUGGGGCUCAAUGGUGGCUUACUUGCCUGGGACAUAGUGUUUCUGCUUCAGCAGCUCCAUGUGCAGGAGGCUCUCAUCCUGGACCGUAGUCUGCUCCGUUCCUGCUGGAGGUUUUCAAACCUAAGGGAAGAAGGCAGCAAGACCAGAAGCCCAUGGGGGCGGGGGGGACCUGCCAUGUCAGCUUUUGAACCCUAACUAGAUCUACUAAGCUAGACAAUCAAGCAGUACCUUUCAGCUGAGUUAAUUCCCUGCUUCCCCAAGGGAAAAGUGUCAGAGAGGUCCUGGGCCAUAUUUUUUUCUCAAAUUUUAAAAACUGCCAGAAGUUGAACUGGAAAAUACACACUGUGCUGGAUUAGAAAAAACAGGAUAUUUCUCCAACAGUCCAAAGACAUCAUUUUGGAGAAAUAUCAGUAUGACAAGUUCUGAGGCACAGGUCAGGAGAGAUGCAGCUGGCCUUGAUUACAUAGAUACCAGGUGAAUGUGAACUUCCUGGAAAACUCUAUGCCUGCCCUCUAGUGGAGCCUAUACAGCAAUGCAGAAUAGGCUUUGAUUAUUCCUAAAGCUCAGACCCCUGCAUGGGAUAAACUUGUCAACUCCUACUCUGUUUAGGACCAGAGUAAAUCUUCUCAUGAGAAACUGAUAAACACUGCAGAGAGCCUGCAAUCAGCAGUAGGCUGUUGUGUGCUAUCUGCCAAAGGGUAGAAACUUAUCUCUGAAGUGAUGUUCCUGGUGAAAAAUAAAGUUGCAUGAGGAUGCACUUCCCUUCAUGACUGAUGAUCCCCUCUAGGUUUCUGGCUACCAUGGAAAUAUUUGUGAAGAGAUCUAACUUAAGAGAUGAGAUACUCAGAGCAUACUAGAGGUCUCAAAAUGGAAGAAGGGAACACAAUCGUCAUAAGACAAAGGAGAAAGCAUAUUGUUUCCUGGACAUAAGUUCCUGUUGACUGAGUCAGCAAUGACACUCUGAGGUGUUCUUUCCCUGGCUGUGGCUGGAAGCUUUGCCACUCGAACAGAAACUCAAAGAGGACAGAGAUCCAGGUACAGUGGACCCACUUGGAUCCACCUGCUUCUGAAAGCCUAGGCACCUACCUCAUCUGGUACACAGUGAAGUGAUGCUGCAGCUUUACUGCCAAGUCCCUUUGCCAGGUGAGCAGCUCCUUCUGCUUCAGCAGGGACUGAAGAUUUUCCUCAAAUCUCUUUGAUGUUCCUGCUCAUUAGAAGAUUGUGUUUUUAGGAGAGGGUUCCCUGCACCCAUGAACAUACAGAUGCAUGAAGACACACACACACACACACACACACACACACACACACACACACACACACACACGAGAACACAUAUAUGUACAUGGAUGCAUACAUACAAGCACACUACAUUGCAUCCGUUUUAGUUUUCUAGAUAACACUGAUGUAAUAGGAGAUCACCUGGGAUACUAUGGAGAAGAAAGUGCCCUUUCAUUAACCCACAGACUCUCUACUCAUAUUCCAGCCCAGAGGCAGGAAAACACAGGAAACUCUGAGCACAGGGAUGUGAAGAAGAUUGUGCACUUUUAUACUGUUUUGAUAAUUUUUAUUUUAUUUUUAAUUUAUAUGUGCAGGUGUUUUUCCUGUCUGUGUGUCAGAUUAGCACAUGGGAGAAAAACUCAGUGGACAGAUAAGUCAAUGUAGUGCUUGCCUUAUAAACCUGUACACUGACAGGUGAACCCCAGGGUUCCUUGACCAGUAAUCUAAGCUCUCCUAGCAAGUUCCCAAGUCUGUACAUUGAAGGCUUAGUUCCCCAGCAAAGGACCACUGGAUGGCAGUGGACCAGCCCCUUGCUCUCACUCAAUGCUUCUCAGUGUCUCCAAGGGUGGCAGCUUCCUCCUAAAAAAGCUCUCUAAACCACAGGUUGCCUCAAUUUAGGCCCAAAGGAAUGAGCUCAGAAAACAAAACAAAACAAAAAUCUCUAAAGUCAGGAGUCUAUAUUAACCUUUCCUCCAAGUAAUAUGAUUAUGUCAGGAAUUUCUUUGAGUAACAGAAGGUUGAGUAACUCACAUCCAAAUGAUUGCAUGUAUUAUUCCAUGCUUCACAAUAUUCCAUGGACCACAUUGUAUGUUUUCCCUAAUCAGGGACGGGCAUCUGAAUAGUUUCUAGCUGGAGGUGUUCUGAUGAGUCCUGCUGUGACCCUGUUGUCCCCUAUUCUCUGCGGACACCUACUUUACAUUCUGGAAUCAAUGGACCACUGGAGUCUGCAUUCAACAUUCUGAAUAAUUAUAUAUACCUUCACACAGGGCUGCACCAUCUUACACUACUAGCAAUGUCUGAGAGUUCUCAUUUCUCUCAACCCUCCAUCAGGCUGAUUUUAACUCAGUAUGAAGAAGUUUGGAAUAAAAGCAGGUUCUGAGUGCUGCAGACACAACAUGGAGUGGGUGCUUUAGAGUAUGAGGAGCGUAAGGGGUGCACUGAGACAGCCUCUCCUCACACCUCAGCAUAGCUGUGGGACUUCUGCUGGGCUGAGAUGCAGCCACAAGCACCAAUGCAGUGCAGAAUUUCUUAGAGAAUAAAAUCCAGGCCAAGCUCCAUGGUUAAGAUUAUCUGAACCAAGGUUAGGCAAAGGUGAAAGGAAAAUGGCGGCAGGCGAUGAGGAGAAGAACAAAACAGGAUGCAGGGAAGUCAUCAGUGGUCAGCCACCAUUCACCCAGAGCAGAGAAGGACACAAACCCUCAGGCACCUCUCCUGCCUCUCAGUAACCUCUUUCUCACCUUCAUGUACCCCAUUACUUUGUUUUCUCCAGAGAUUUCUUUGCAGAUAAAUAAUUCUGCCUCUACAAAUACCUGAAAAAAUUUUUAGCUUGCAUCAAUUUUGUGGCCUUUUGUUGUUGCUAACUGUGUGGACAUGCAGAAAUAUGGGCAGCUCCAUCUGUUCUUUGACUGAUGAAAAGUGGUACUAACCAGGUUAGGCACAGUACUUUCUCAUUGAAGUCUCUCUCCAUCAUUGUUAAAGAUGUUCCAUUGUUCCAUGAGUGAGUGAACAUACACAUAGAGGCUCAAACACAUAUUCUCAUACCCCAUAGAAACACAUAAGACAACACAUAGGCGCGCACACGCACACACACACACACACACACACACACACACACACACACACACACACACACAUACACACCCAACUUUCUUGAACCCAGAAGGGCAAGGGAGAAUACUGGAAUCUUAUAACACCUUUUGUACUACAGGGAGAGGUAGUGUGUCCUCCCUGUUGUCUACCAGCCUCUUAGACUCAGCCAGGCUUUUCUGCCCUGGCCUGAACUUGUUUCCCCUCCUAGGGAAGUUUUUAUCGCCAGACUCACUGAUUGUACAAAUAAAUAACAACCUCUGCACAACUGAGUUUGACCACACAAGACCAAGUGCCCAUGGAAGAUGGCUGGACAGGAAGCCUCCCGAUAGAUCCAAGUUGACCCAUCAUAGACUCCUCCCUAAACAUACCCAGACUCCUCCACUGAAGGCAGUGAUAGACCAGAGAAUGGAAGUCACCCAUUGUCAUUACCCAACAACUUUUGACCAGAUUAUAGUGCAUGUUAUACUAAAACAGCCCAGGUCAGACAGUAGGAGGCUACCUAAGUCACCCACAGCACUUUCCUGAACUACAGCACUCUAUAAAACUAUGAGAAGGAAUCUUUCCUAAGAACACAGCCAUAUACAUGUUAGAGUGAGCAUCAAAAUGUCAGGUUCCAUGUGUGAAGCUAGUAAGACAAACCAGACAUUUCCUGGGAAGUUACUUCUAUGCCGUGAAAGAAGAGAAGUCUACUUAUUAAUUUUAAAAUAGAUCCAUUGUUUGGCUUUUGUAGGGGACGUUCCUCCUUCCAUACUGUUUCUGCCUCUGAUCUCAUAUGACCUAUGCAAAGCAAGUGAGACCCAGACCCUUGACCUCACUCACUCAGAUCUCUGUGCUACUCCCUAUGUGGCUCACAUCAUAGCACUGCUCUUUCCAUACUAGCAUAUCAGUGAGUGACAUGUGAUUUACCCGUCUCCCUCGGUGGACUGCAGCUUCUAGCAGAGCAGUAGGGUUUCCUUGGCAGUCAUGCAAUGCCUUCCAAGAGGCUAACUCCCCAGAAAAACUUGUGAAUGAUCACAGAAAUGAACAAUUAGAUGAGAUGGGUCAGGUGGAUAAGUGAGUAGAUGGUUCCAUGGGUGUGUGUAUAUGUAUGUGUAUGGUUAGACAGGUGGGCAACUUGGCCCUGCUGCUUCAACCUACCUGCUGCUGCUUUGUCCAGAGGUCAUAGGUCUUCCAUUAGGCCUCCUCACAGAGCCUCCUCACCUCGUCACAGGAUUCUUGUAGUAAAAUAUGCUCCCCCUGUAGCUUUCUGUUGUUCUUUUUCAACAUGCUCACUUUUUCCUUUAGCUGAGUCCAUUCCCUCAGGAGCUGACUGUAGAGGGUGCUGAAAUAUCACCAAAGAUGAUGAGUUCCACCUGCUUCUGCACUCCUGGCUCUAAUACCAUCCUUCCUGCCUGGCCCCACAUCCCCAUCCCCAUGACCCUGGGCAGGAACCCACAUUAGCAAUGCCAGCAUCACUCAGGUGCAGGCCAAAGCCAGAGAAUAGCCAAAUUCCAGAUAGAUUCAAACUGCUUCUGAAUACCCUGACAGCAAAAGGGAUCCAUGUACCUAUGAAAACUGGAUCCUCCACCUCCCCCCCACACACACUCUGGUGUUUAACUGUUCACAGUAUUGGGGAAACAUGAGCAGGUAGAGUCAAACCAUGCUCUAAGGCGGACAGAGGACCCAAUGGGAAUACAUUCCAUCCACGCUUCCCAUAGAAACCAACUCUGUAAGCUCCUGCCAGAGCCACAGAAAACAUUCAUGGUGAAAACCAUGUUUUCUCUCUAGAAGCUCCAGACUUUGACAGGAAAAUGUUGAGAGGGGCUCUAAGACUUUUCACUCUUAGGAGAACUCAGUUUAGGAGGCACAAGUCCAUGAGCUAUGAGGCAGGCUGCUUGCUAAGAGGUCAGACUAGAACCACAGCCCAACUUUGUUCAAAGGUGAAGAAGGGGAGAAGCUGCUGUGGGAUGUCUUCUGUAUGCUGUGAAUAUGUCUUUAUCCCAUUGGUUAAUAAAUAAGCUGCUUUGGCCUAUGGCAAGGCAGGAUGGAACCAGGCAGAAAAAUCCAGGAGAGACAGAGAAGGAAGUCAGAGGUGGAGGAGAUACCAGCUGCCACCCAAGGAGAAACAUGCCAGCAGCCUGGCCAUGCAGCAGCCAUGUGGCAAACACAGAUUAAAAGAAAGGGGUUAAUUUAAGAUGAUAGAGCUAACUAGCAAGAAACUUAAGCCAUUGGCCAUACAGUUUGUAAGUAAUAUAAACCUCUGUGUGUUUAUUUGGGACUAUUUGACUUCAGGAGGUGAGUGGGACAGAUUCCUCCUGACAGCUGGGUCAGGCAGGACUGCAGAAACUUCAGACUGACAGAAGGGGUCCCUACCAAUUUUUGGAGUCCCAUCUAAGUUAGACACUCACUGGUAGGAUUUGGUCUGCUCACUCAGCUCCUUGCACUUGUACGAUGCCUCAGUAAUCUCCUUGGGGAAUUUCUUCACAUCUGACAUCUCCUUCUCAUGCUGUGUUUUCAGCAUCUCAAGCUCAGAUAUCAGCCUGUGGUAGGGCGUGGCCCCAGGAGCAAAGAACCCCAUGAACACGGGUGUCAGGGACCACAUGAAUUAAGGUUCUGUUUUAUACUACCCUAGCCCACUAGAUUUCACACCCUCAAUUCUAUGUACUGGACCUCCUGGUGUGCAUUAGACUUGCCUCACUGUCCCAGGGUCAGGAAAGCUGGGUGUCAAUAGGAAAGGAGACAGGACUACAUGAGCUCCCUCAGUAGGCCUGGAGGGGUAGACUAGCCAGCUAAGAGGGUCUGAGGAGUCUGUGGCACAGAACGGGGUCUAUCUGAAAUCUGCAAUGAUAUUUUCACUGUCUUGAGAACAGAGAUUCUUUCUCCUUACAAGGAUAUCCAGAACUCAUAAUCAGUACUGCCAUGAAGGAGGCACUACAUGAGGAUGGCUUUAUAAACUCCCAAGGAGAUUCCAAUGAGGCACCAGGGUGAGGACAAAGCUGAGAGCAGUGAUGCUCAAUGUGGGGCUCCCUGGCCUCAGCACGUACAUCACCAGAAAUCUUUGAAACAUGUGAAUAUUCAGGCCUACUAUCAAUCUCUGACUCACAGGAUCAGGAAGGACACACACACACACACACACACACACACACACACACACACACACACACACUGUAAGUAAGCCUCUCAGAGACAGUACCGAACACACUCAGACACACAAUCCUCAGCACAAAGAGAUUUAUUACCCCACAGGUCAAGCAUGGCGUUGGGAGCCUGUCUCUGGAUCAGGCAAAGGCAGACAGCAAGCAGCAGGCUUUUUUCAGCAGUGGGUUUUUAAGUAGAAAGAUUUUGUCUGUGCUAGGGUGAGUUGUUGAGAUCUGAUUGGAUCAGUUAGCCAGUGUAGCCAAGUAAUGACUUUUGAUUGUUGGACUUUGGUAUUUAGUUUCAAGAAUGAGUCAGUGUCCACUAAAGGGAAUGGACUUUGGGGACUAAAUUUAGGAAUGUAAUCUAAUGGUUUAUCAAGGGAGAGGGAAGUGAAAAGGGAAAAACCUGCCACUGCUAAGUUUGGGCCCCUUAGAGAGCACUUCACACACAUAAACCCACACACAGGAUGUCAGAGAAAUGCAGGUAAGUGGCAUUGUCUCAUAGUAUAAGGAACAAGCUGAGAGGAGAGGAGAUGAACUCCAGGCCUUCCGGUGACACACAGAUGGACUGAGUAGGCCCACCAGGCCAUUCAAGCUGCUGCCAUAGCAAAAAGCAAAAAUAAAUACCAAUUUAGAGCACUGAGCAUCUCCUAAAAGCCAAUGCCUCAGGCCUUCUUGAAAUGCAUGUUGUGAUCUUACACCCUACUGCCCCUCUCUGUAGAUUGUGAUUCAGGCCACAAGCUCUGGUUUUCAUUGGGAGGAUUCAGAACGGACUAUGUCCUAUCUCAAUCAUACAGGCUUCAGUUCUGCCUCUCAGAUGCACUCAGGACACAGUAGGUUCAAGACAGUCACCAGAGAAAAGGGCAUGUUGAGUACCUGUUGUUCAACUCAUUGUUGUUAUAAAGGGCCAGGAGUUCCAGCAGUUCAAUCCUCUCAUUGGUCAUCAUCUGUAGCUGAAGGGUCAGUUUAUCCACCUGGUUCAGCUGUUGCUCCUGCUCAGUGAGGAAGAAGGGUGUGGAUGAUGCCUUCCUAGUAGUCCCUGUAGGUACAUAAACACAAGUGAAUUUGUCCAGAUGAAUGGCAUAGGGCCAAGAGAGAUCAUGUGGAGUCCCAAGAGGAGUCCUGAGGAAGAGGAAAUGCAUGCCACCCAGUGAAGCCCUCAAAAAUCCGAGCAGAUAUCCUUAAACUGGGGACCAUAAGCCAUGUGUCUAUCUCCAAUCUCUAGGGAUAGAUAUAUGCCUCAGGCCCUACUUCAGCCCCACUGUCCCUGAAAGGCAUAAGCAAGGCCAGUCAUGUUGGUUUGGAAUUCUCACCAGAUACCUUAUGUGAUGCAAGAAAGUUCUGGACUGCCUGGUGCUUCGCAUCUCUCAACCCUGAUAAUCUGUGUGCAGGACUAAAAGCAACUGAACAUCUCAGACCUGGGUACAUGGAUGGAAAGUUUCCCUUCCUGGUAUUUAUAUCAGAUAUCCAUGAAAUCUACAGAAUUCCACUGAGAAUAAAGUGCAGCAACAUCCUACCCUGAUACCUCAUUAGUGGUUCUGGGCCUCCUUUAGCAUUCUUUGCCAAUCAUAAUGAACUGGAAAAGGUCCCAGCACAGCAGCUGCAUCCCUGAUAUUUCCUGGCCCUCUGCCCUCAGAAAUCCUCUGCUUUGGAUCUGCUCUUUAGCAACCCAGGUAAGCUGCAUAGGGCCAUUGCUUCAGAUGUUCACAGCUACUGCACCCCAUUAAGAGAAGGACCAAUUGUGGCAUCAACUCCUGAUUAGAAAACCAGUGCUUUCUAUGCGAAUCAGUGUGCUCAGUUUUGCCAACAUGUCAAUUGGUGAACCCUGUGGGCUCUUAAUAAAUGCCUCAAGGGCAGUUGGCAUUGCCACAACACUGGUGAUUUCACAGAAGAUGCCAAUGACUCUCCAGGAUACAAUAGAAUUUCCAGAGAAGGGACUCUUAGGGUCACUGCUAAUGUCAUCACCUAUCUGAUAACAAACUCUUCCCCAAUUCACCAAAAGCCAAGCUCCUCUUUCCAGCAGCCUUCUCUGAGACAGAGCAGGGCCUUCAGCACCUCGUCAUUUCAAUCCAGGGAUCUCAAUGAUUCAUUAGAAUCUAGUUCAUUCUAAUUCAAUAGUUCAUUAUGUAUGGAGGGCAAGACUCAAUUUCCAAACACUGACCAGGAAUGGCUCUUCUCAUCCUGAAGAAUGCUAACUAAUAAGAUGAGAAAUAAAGGAUACUAAGAAAUUAGCUCAGGAUAAUAAGGAAGGAAUAUCAGUUCCUCAAGGUGAACAAGCACAUUAGAGAAAUCCACGGGGCUGUUACAAUGUAUGGGGGUGGUGAAGGAUUAUGUGGGUCCUCUCAGAACAAUGAUAAGUCAUAUAGGUAAUGAUGAAACUUUUGCCAAAAGCUUCAGCAGAAUACAUUCUAACCAUCAUGAUGUUAGCAAAGGAGUUAUCAAUUAUUGAAAGGUAUGACUGAAAAUACCUAAUAACUGGGCAUCCAGAGGUGAGCCCUCUGACACCAAGUACAAAUACUUACAGGAAGAGUGAUGUCCCAGUUUGCACUCAAGGUAGAGGGAAGAUGACUGGCGAGUGAGAGGAAAGGAACUCAGAAACCUUAGGGGUCACUGACAUGCAGCAAUACUUGGUGGCUCCUGACCUGAUAGUGGGUUGUUAUUUAAACUGUGAGAACCUCUAGCUCUGGCCAGAGGACUUUACUCUCCUUGUUAUUAGUGACACACACCAAAAGACAUCCAGUGUGGGUGAAGUGCAUGGCUGGUACUGAAACCUCUUUAGUCCCUCUGUGCUUCCUUCCCACCCAGAGUGAAAGCAGAGGGCCCUCAACAGAACAACUGCAGCCUUGACCAUCCCUGGCUCUUUGCCAAACUAACCUUGAAAAAUCCAUAACUUUGUUCUGCUCCUGAAGAACUCAGAGGACUAGGAUAGGCCCAUGGCUUCUCAGAAACUCUCACCCCCUUAGCCCCACUUCUAGAAGGAUCAGCUGAAGCCUUCCUCCUUUAGGAAGUUCCCUAUCCCUUUCCCAGGACUCACUGCGCUUUUCCCAGAACCAUUUAUUUCUUGAUGUGUGACAUGGAGACUGAAGGGCAUCUUCCUUCUGCCUCCCUUUGGUCUCCCUGUGCUCGCCAUCCUGUCUUCCAAGAAUCCUGUUCAGUCUAGUCAGCAUGUCUGUAGGUGAAAUGUGAGACACUGCACAAAUGCCCCAAUGACAGUUGGUGUUGCCACAACACUGGUGACAUCACAUGGAAUGCCAGGGCUCUCCAGGAUACAGUAGAAUGUCCAUGUACUGAUGUCACAUGGUAUAGCUGUUACAUCCCUGUCUCAUACCUCACCCAAAAGUGACUUGAAACCAAGGUGCCAUUUUCAGGAGCCUCUGGGUUCACAAUGGAAGCCAUUAGUUAUAAUCCUCCUUUCAAAGCCAGAAAUCUAGGCCUCUGCUUCAUUAGAAACUUUAUCUAAGUGAAGUUGAAAGCUCACUUUGCAUGUACUGUCCAGGGUUGAAUUUUCCCUCCUUAAGAUUCAUAAUCAAUAAUUUGAGAAAGAAAGGAUGCUUAGAAAUUAGGUCAGGACAAUGAGGAGUAGUAGUGAUGAGACCUGUGAAGUGAGCAAUCACCCAGGGAAGAUCCUCAGUCUUGUAGAGAUUGGUGGGCUCAAAGAAAAGUCACAUUGUUAGUUAUGAAGAUUUCACCAGAGUGUCAGUAGAGCUAACUCAAGCUAUGAGUUUAUGAGUGAAGAUGUGACUAGCUCUGGACAGGUCUGGUUGGAGCCACUAAGACCAGGUGAGCUCUCAGAUAUUGAAAGCAAGCAAUUCAUGGAAAGAGUAGGAUGACCCAAUCCUUGAAAUCAUUGACUGAGGAAAAUGUAGUGGCAAGUCAGAGUUCAGUGUUGGCUAUGGAGAGGCAUCAUGAAGGAGACAACAACACACACACACACACACACACACACACACACACACACACACACACACACACCAGGCAUACAUUCAUGGAGUAGAACAUGAUGUAGAUCACUGCUGUGGUGCUUCAACCAGUAAACAAAGCCAAACGCCUAGUUUUGGCGCCACCUGUUCCAAUCCACAUGCUCUUGAAGAGGUGGCACUGCUAGCUUUGGGUACAAGAUCCAUUAGGAGGACAUGAGAAGGGCAGGCAAGGGGAGAGAAUCAAGAGUUGUUGCAUCAUACAGCUUUGUUAUAGCCAAACCUCACAUUUCUUAUCAUGACAUCGCUAUAAAGAGAAGCCAGGUCAUGGUCAGCAUGGAGUGCAUGUUCUCCAACCAAAUCUCUGGAUUUUGUCCACCAAAGCGUUAUCCUUGCGUCCUAGGACUUAUGAAACUUUUGGGUGAUCUGUGUCAUUUCAGAUUUUGAAGCUUUAAGCAAAUAAAUGUGAUUGUCAACUUUAUUUCUAAAUAGAGUCUUGUGAAGCCCAAAAAGUUGAGUACAUCCUGGAAUUUGGGAGCAAGGCAUGUCCACUAAACUGAUAUAAAAACUAUUUUAAUAACAUAGAUGACAGUAUUGGGGGUAAAGAAAUGUGAGUAGAGAGGUGGUAUAGAGAAAGGGGUGAGAUAUUCCGAGAGUGUGAUUUCUCACAUGAAUCCAGAGAUGAGGCAGUAGAUCUAGAUGGAAAAGGAUAAAGGAUUGCCUGCAAAUCCCAGUAAUUAGAAAGAGGCCUGGAGUCAGCUGUAUAGUUGAGACCUCAGACAGCUUGGUCUUUCUAACAAUCAAUUGUGAAAUAUCACACUUCCAUGAACAGAUACCCUGCCCAGGAUAUAUAGUUAUUUACCCAGCAAAGACAGAAAUCCAUUCUGCAUGGUCCUGCUUCUUAUCUCACUGAUAUUCCAUCCAGAGGAGGGUUCAUGUUCUUCCAAAUGCCCUGAGAUCAAGCUGACAGGGGACGGCACCUGACUUUUACAAUGUUCAUCUCAGCCCACUCUUGGUAGUUGGAUCAUGUUCAGGAAAUGAACUGGGAGAUAAGACUUUGCCUAGCCGCUUCUCAAAGUUCAGGCUUGAGACUCCCCCUCUGUGCAUGUCAACUUUCCUGUCUUCUACAGGGAGGGGAGUGUCUCAGGUGUCUGCUGGUUUCUUCUCCUCUUCACAUGGUUCAGGUUACCCAAGGGACAGCCUCCUCAACCUUACUCAGAGCUGCACAAGACAAAGCCUGGCUUCAGACUCCCCAAAUCUGGCCUCAGCAGCCAUGAGAAUGGUGGCACAGUUCACAUGACUUUUUUGAGACACAGGCUCUCCUGGAACUUGCACUGCAGUCAGUCUUCCAUUCUCCUCCUCAUUUCCCAAUUGGUUGAGAUCAUGGCAUGCAUCACUAUGCCCAGCUCCUUUUUUUCUAUUUCUAAAUGUUUGAACAUCCAGAAGCAACCAGAGUGAGGUCAAGAUCAUGAUGGGGAAAACCGCAGAGAUAGCCUACCUAAGCUGGAAUCUCUUGGACUCUGGCAGGAACAAGCACAGGACCAAACUAGGUCCUCUGACUGUGGGUGACAGUCUGGGUGAUGACCUGCAUCUUCAAGUGACCAUGUUCAGGACUGACUGUGAACAUACCUAUCUGUCCUGAACCAGACAGCUGGAAGAGGCAGCCUGCUGGUGGAAGACACAGCCUACUAAGCCUUUGUCUCAGUAUAGAAAAUAAAAAGGAAGCCAGAAGUUGGCUUUUUGUAUUACUUAUCAGUUCCUCUUUAUCUGUCUGCCUCUCAGGGAAGACUGUGUAAUUCUUUUUCCCUCAAAUUAAUGAGUUUAUUGAAGUUAUUACAGGAGUAUAGGUAUGGUAUUACUUAUAGGAAUAUGAAUAAAUCUAAUGUGUGGCAUCACAAAGGCUCACAUUAGAAUGGGUGACCCAUGAAGACUAGAACUCUGAAUGUGUCUGCAUGACUUGUUUGCAGCUGAAUGAGACAGAGGGUCUCAUUUCCUCAGUUCUCCUUAGUUACACCUAUUUAACCUUGGGAGCAGAAGGGCCUUGUUAAUCCUGUAAAUUUCAGCUUUCCCAGCCAUGGUUUAAUUGCUGAGUAUUAUGAACCUCCUCUCUCUUUCCACAGAACUUUCUGAGACUUAAGGAAAUAGUCCUACUCAGGGAAGAGCACACCAGUUGGAUACUCAAUAUUAAAUGAUCAGUCCUGAAAACAUAUAUGCUAGCUAUACAGAAUGAUUGGUUUACAUUUAGGAAUAUAUAACUAUAUGGAUACACACACACACACACACAUAUAUAUCUUCAUGCUCAUAUAUAUGUAUAUGAACAUAGGAACAAUUAAUGAAUAUAGAGGUCAUAAAUUAGAAACAGAGCAAGGAGGAGUGUAGUGAGGGUUUGGAAGGAUGAAAAAGAAGAGAAAAUAAUGUAAUUAUUAUCUCAAAAAUAAUAGAAGAGUAUUUCAUGUUAUCAAAAGGAAAAUUGUUACACAACAUUUCACCCAUUCCUUAAAAUGUUAGUUGUUUGUAUAAGUUCACAUUCUCCCAUGGAGCUCUGCAAAGGCACUAAAGGCAAACACAAGUCCUGAAGUCCCUGGUGAAUCAACCAUUUUAUGUUUGACCUCUUCUGUAAGCACAGCCCAGUGCUCUAUCAUGCCCAGUGAAUUGGCCGCAAAGCACUGCUUCUCUCAUAUAUAUUUUAUCAGGAAAACCCCAUCCUUCCUUCAUCAUCUUCCAGUGUGUGUGAGACCUCUGCUUGUGAUAACCAAGCAUCCCCAACGCUUCCUGUGAGCCAGUCCAUCAGGAAAUAAUUUCUCUCAGAUUUCAUUAGAUUACAUAGCCUGUAUUUCAAGGAGGUUUUUGUAAGUGGCUCACCUACUUUCCUACUUCUAUUGCACUCAGAUUGAUCUCAUCUGUUCUCAUAGCCUACAAUCCCAUGAGCAAAGCUUUGACAGGAGGUUUCAUUGAUCUUUGAAAGUCUUUUGUAUCAAGUAGUUGAGAGACAGAAUACUCCCUGACUGAGACAGGCUCUUUUCGCAGGCCAUUUUAAGGCUAUCAAAUGCAAGUUCUAGCAUGGAUUUUCCUUUUCUCUGUAUAAAAGGUUGAAACUAAGUGGCAUCUUCUAUCACUUUUGUUUUAAACAGAGAAUUAAACUCUAAUUGUAUACAAGUGUAAUGAAUUUUGUCCUAAGGAAUUUUAAUAAAUACAGCAGUUUCAUAUAUGA
Long non-coding RNA from Peromyscus californicus insignis, 16661 nucleotides. RefSeq lists it as uncharacterized. The transcript has 2 exons. NCBI's taxonomy places the organism in Eukaryota, Metazoa, Chordata, Mammalia, Rodentia, Cricetidae. The record is from RefSeq and is a predicted model, not a curated record.